Molecule: long non-coding RNA, 1443 nt
Filed under: Homo sapiens (human)
Lineage: Eukaryota; Metazoa; Chordata; Mammalia; Primates; Hominidae
Description: HSALNT0321657
Source: RNAcentral
AGUGAAUAGAAAUUAAGAAAAAAUACGGACAAAGAACAAAGCUAAAAUAAGUAUUUUCAUCUUCCAACAUGAAAUCAGCAGCUGUGAGAAUUUUUGAAAACUGCAUUUGCACUCGAAACUCUAGUGGCUUCAGAGUUAAAGAAAGCAUGCUGAGAGGUCUAUCAGUGCAAAGGGUCAUCUAUGAAAUCUCCACCUAGAUCUAAGGACCACUGGGCAAACAGCAUGGUGCUAAAUAUAACCAGCUGUUUUCCCCAGGAAGCAUAUCAGGACUCCAAAAAUCUCUGGCAUCCACUCUUUCCUGACAUAGAUCAUGUGGCUUAGGGGAAAACUAACACCACACACAGCUUCAAGGUGAGCAAGACUGGUUUAAGGAUAAUCUAACUUGCCUUGCCAGGGAUUGGUUCAGAAAUAAGCAGGUGACCCUCUCCUGAACCUGUUAGAGGCCAAUGAGAUGAGAGAUGUUAAGAACUUUUGGCAAAGUUCUUCCAAAUUCUGGAAGGUCUUCCGGAAGUAACGUUUUCGCUUUCCUGUUGGAUGUGAUCAAAGUAGCAUGUACCCCUUCCUGCUACUGGCAGGCAGCCUAUGAGAGUGAGGGUAAACUCCUCAGUCUGCAACCACUAUGAAGAGCAAGACUGAGAGAUGGAGAGAAGCUAGCUAGCUGAUGACGACAUUGUUGAGAUGCUGAAGUAAACAACCCUCAUGGGGUUCAGUUAUGUGAGCCAGUAAAUUUCUUCCCUGUUUAGUCUCAGGCAGCAUUUGUUAUUUACAUCUGAAAGCGUGCUAAGUAAUACUGUUUCUGUGCAUGGGCAUGAAGAAAACUGCUGGUGACAGAAACAAUAAAGCUGGGAUGGGAAUUUAUUUGAAAGUUGACAAGUUCAGCCUUGGGCACUGUAAGAUGAAGUUGAUAAUGCUCGCUUUUCUAGACUUGUAUCCAUUAGAGCAUACCUAAAGAACCAAUGUUCUUAUUCUCCAGCUAAGAAAAAUGUCCUAUUUAUCUUGUAGAAUUAGGGUGAAAAGCAGAAAAGUGAGAAGAGUUCUCAUGGAAUUUAUCCUUGGUUCAGAGCCAGACUUAGUCUUCCAUACUGAGCCCAGGUGCCUGUACUUAAUUCCUCCAGUUCUGGAUCCUUGUCUGCUGUUAUCUCAAAAACUGGCUGCUCCAUCUUUCUGUCCUCAUGUCUUUGCAAGGUCCUUAUGUGGCAACUGACGCCUCCAUUCAUCUCCUGGAAGUCUUGAUUUUCUGGUUUAUGGACUGAACCACUCCAUUAACAAUAUCAGAAAUAUCAAAAAUAUGUUCCUUGACUAUUAAUCUGAGAAUCUGACCCAGAACUAUUUUUUCAUUCUGGCUGCCAAACUCAACUAAUCUUGUUGCUGCCAUUUCUCAUUACAAUGAGCACACUGAGGUUUUGAAGAAUUUGUAAUUUCAUAUCACAUUUCUGAACAAAG